UAGUGUAUAGUUUGCCAGAGAAUGAUUAAGGUGACUCUAACUCUGUUAAUUGAUUUUUAUGCGUUUGAAGCAAUUAUCCUUUUCGGUAAAUUCUACCCGAUAGUAAUUUAUUAUACAUGUAUGUUGCACUUUAAAAAAAUAUAGGAAUGCUUUUUUUAUCUAUAUAUUUAGGAUGAAAACAACAUUUUCUAGUAUUUUUCUGAAAACAAAAUCAUUCCGAAUUUUGAUAAGCUUGUUAGUAUAAAGUAAUACGAACAGCUAUGUGAUAUCUACUUACUUUAAUGAAUUUUAGUAUUUAUUUUUAGUUCUUUUAUGAUUAUUUAGAUGUUUUUAGUUCAUAUGUGUUUCUUCCUCGUUCUCAUCCUUCUAAUCCCAGUCAUCUCUUUAAUCUCUGUUAUGGGUUGAACUAAAUAACAGAGUCCGAUUCAUGAUUGAAGAUUUCAGCUCUCUCUCUAAGGUCUUCAUUUCAUUCCAUCCAACAUCACUCAAACCGGAUCCUCUGUAUUCGAUUGGGUAACAUCGCGUACGCAGUGCUCAGUGGGCGCUUAAGAUCUUCAGGCUGAGCUUGCUUUGAAGAUGUGGAAGCGUUCCCCUCAAGUGGUCGUUGAAGGUUGAGAACUUGAGAGUGAAGGAGGAAGGCGAAUGAAGAGAAGAAGCGCUUCAAUGGAGCUUCUGGUGAUGUUGAUUAUACGUCGGUGGAGGUAGACGUGCAGGAGAUAGCCUCCGGCACUGUAGAGCUUCGGAGUCGAUGAUUCCCGCACCGUUUGCGUUCUACCCAGAAAAGCAACACGUAUUCGUUCAUGAAACAUGCGUCUUCAUUUACUUUCAUCUUAUCUCAAUUGAGUUGACCGUGUUGGGCUAUAUCAUUUACUGUAAUGUUCGUCCUUGUAGAUUAGGUUCAAUUGGGCUGGUCUGUAAACGAUAUGGGCUGUAAACAUCAUUAUGUCGACAAAAAAAAAGGUUCAUAUGUGUUUAUGCAUAUAAACGGUUGGAGUUUUCCUUUGGUUAGGUGAAACUGAAUUCAAAAAGAAACAAAAGAGAAAGGACCAAACUGCAAAUAGAUGUAACUUAAGUUGUUUAUCAGAUCGAGGGUCUUCCACACCUAGAUCGGCCGAUUUCAAGCUCUGGGAUUAGGCUCGUCGCCUGAUGGUGGGCAAAUCGCGGUUUUGAGAUCAUCUGCAAUUGUAUGUGACAUCGAUGACUGUGGGAGCUGAGAUGGCUGUUGGAUGUGAGCUUAGAAGGUCGCGGCGGUGAAAAGAUGAACGCGACUCACGCCGUGGAGAAGCUUUGACACGAACACGGGGGCGGCAAUCGCGGUUGCACCAUCGGAGAUCAAUCUGAUCUGCGAUAGAGAUACAUGAGAAGUUGUGGAAUGGCAUGGCAAGGAGUCGAGGUCGCUGAGACAAAUAAGUUGCAGGUACACUGUCUCACAUAAGAGAAGCUCACAUUUAAUAAUAGAUCGUAGUGGUUCGAUUAAAAAGGGUUUUAAGGCGAUGCGUCUGUUACGUUGAACGUUUCGAUCAGUGAGGAAGAAGACCGAAGGACGUGAGAUUACCGCCAACAGAUUCAUCACGUCAGCGUCGGCGACUCAAUCUCUCGAGGAAGUGGUGAACCCUAGAAUCAAAAUCGACGCUUAGGGAUUCUCACUAUUGAGAUGGGUCAGUAAACGUAAAGCCCACAUAAACUGUAACCCAUAUUUUCUAAAUGAAACGCAACGUUUAUAUAUAGGACACGUGUCGUGCUCCUGUAAACUGAGUUUAUGACCUGUCUGCUGAGGUGUCUUCACCAGGAGAGAGUAAACCCAAUUUUAUAUAAAUAGAUUGCGGGAUCAUUGUCAACCAACUAAAAAUCAAAUAUUUUAUUCAUGUAUAUGAACAAAUCUCGUGUUGGAGUUAAUAUUUUGUAUUA
Molecule: long non-coding RNA, 1908 nt
Organism: Raphanus sativus (radish)
Lineage: Eukaryota; Viridiplantae; Streptophyta; Magnoliopsida; Brassicales; Brassicaceae
Exons: 2
Source: RefSeq, a predicted model, not a curated record